AAGGUAUGCAAGUCGAACGAUCCCUUUGAAUUACUUGAAACUUCGGUUGAUUGUAUUUCUUUUUGGGAUAGUGGCAAACGGGUGAGUAACACGUGGAUAACCUGCCUUAAAGUCAUGAACAGCUCAUCGAAAGAUGGGAUAAUACAUGAUAGUCUUACAAUUUCUAUCCGACUUUGUAAGUAAAGCUCCGGCGCUUUAAGAGGGGUCCGCGUCCUAUCAGCUUGUUGGUGAGGUAAUAGCUCACCAAGGCUAAGACGGGUAGCUGGCGUGAGAGCGCGGUCAGCCACCAUGGAACUGAGACACGGUCCAUACUCCUACGGGAGGCAGCAAUUAGGAAUCUUGCGCAAUGGGGGCAACCCUGACGCAGCGACACAGCGUGGAGGACGAAGGUCUUCGGAUUGUAAACUCCUUUUAUAUGGGAAGAAUAGAUGACGGUACCAUAUGAAUAAGCACCUGCUAACUACGUGCCAGAAGCAUCGGUGAUACGUAGGGUGCGAACGUUAUCCGGAUUUAUUGGGCGUAUAGAGAUGCGUAGGCGUUUCUGUAAGUCUGAAGUUAAAGCCCACGGCUUAACCGUGGAAAAGCUUUGGAAACUGCAGAAAUUGAGACAGGAAGAGGCGAAUGGAAUUCCCAGUGGAGCGGUGAAAUGCGUUGAUAUUGGGAGGAACAUCAGUGGCGAAGGCGAUUCGCUGGUCCUUGUCUGACGCUGAGGCUCGAAAGCGUGGGUAGCAAAACGGAUUAGAUACCCGUGUAGUCCACGCCGUAAACUAUGGAUGCUAGGUGUUCGGUACAACCGUUUUUUCCUUCGGGAAAAGANGGAAGUAUUGAGUGCCGCAGCUAACGCGUUAAGCAUCCCGCC
RNAcentral lists this ribosomal RNA (859 nucleotides) under uncultured candidate division WS6 bacterium. Its description in RNAcentral is "bacterial SSU rRNA". It matches the Rfam family "Bacterial small subunit ribosomal RNA", at positions 50 to 873 of the family's 1533-position model. The record is from RNAcentral.